This 301-nucleotide ribosomal RNA is filed under the name uncultured bacterium. RNAcentral describes it as "partial 16S ribosomal RNA". It matches the Rfam family "Bacterial small subunit ribosomal RNA", at positions 509 to 807 of the family's 1533-position model. The record is from RNAcentral.
CAGCCGCCGCGGUAAUACGUAGGUGGCAAGCGUUGUCCGGAAUUAUUGGGCGUAAAGGGCUCGCAGGCGGUUUCUUAAGUCUGAUAUGAAAGCCCACGGCUCAACCGUGGAGGGUCAUUGGAAACUGUUAAACUUGAGUGCAGGAGAGAAAAGUGGAAUUCCUAGUGUAGCGGUGAAAUGCGUAGAGAUUAGGAGGAACACCAGUGGCGAAGGCGGCUUUUUGGCCUGUAACUGACACUGAGGCGCGAAAGCGUGGGGAGCAAACAGGAUUAGAUACCCGGGUAGUCCCUGUCUCUUAUAC